GAUGAACGCUGGCGGCGUGCCUAAUACAUGCAAGUCGAGCGAACAGACGAGGAGCUUGCUCCUCUGACGUUAGCGGCGGACGGGUGAGUAACACGUGUAUAACCUACCUAUAAGACUGGGAUAACUUCGGGAAACCGUAGCUAAUACCGGAUAAUAUAUUGAACCGCAUGGUUCAAUAGUUAAAUACGGUUUUGCUGUCACUUAUAGAUUGAUCCGCGCCGCAUUAGCUAGUUGGUAAGGUAACGGCUUACCAAGGCAACGAUGCGUAGCCGACCUGAGAGGGUGAUCGGCCACACUGGAACUGAGACACGGACCAGACGCCUACGGGAGGCAGCAGUAGGGAAUAUUCCGAAAAGGGCGAAAGCCUGACGGAGCAACGCCGCGUGAGUGAUGAAGGUCUUCGGAUCGUAAAACUCUGUUAUUAGGGAAGAACAAAUGUGUAAGUAACUAUGCACGUAUUGACGGUACCUAAUCAGAAAGCCACGGCUAACUACGUG
Molecule: ribosomal RNA, 497 nt
Filed under: uncultured bacterium
Lineage: Bacteria
Description: partial 16S ribosomal RNA
Rfam family: Bacterial small subunit ribosomal RNA
Source: RNAcentral